UUACCGUUAAUCGUGCAGGAAUGUGGGGUGGAACAUAAUGUACCCGUAGGGCUGGCGUAAAGGGCAAUCGUCGGGAUCGCCAUGAAGGAAUGAAAAAAGAAAGAUCAAAUUCUGAUCAAUACCAGGAAGAAGCAAGACCCUGAUCAACCCUGAUCAAAAUCAAAACCCCCAGAGAUGUUUGAGAAGGAGAAAACACACCGCCAA
Molecule: long non-coding RNA, 204 nt
Filed under: Linum usitatissimum (flax)
Lineage: Eukaryota; Viridiplantae; Streptophyta; Magnoliopsida; Malpighiales; Linaceae
Description: long non-coding RNA (LUSI_LNC000053)
Source: RNAcentral